RNAcentral lists this long non-coding RNA (791 nucleotides) under Bos taurus (domestic cattle). Its description in RNAcentral is "long non-coding RNA NONBTAT019668". Lineage: Eukaryota; Metazoa; Chordata; Mammalia; Artiodactyla; Bovidae. The record is from RNAcentral.
UGGUUGAAAUUACUGUAUAUAGUUACUGUAUAGUUCCAGAAGUGCUCAAGGUCUAGUUUUAUAAAAGAUUGUUUGAGACUUCCCUGGUGGCUCAGAUGGUAAAGCGUCUGUCUACAAUGCGGGAAACCUGGAGGAUCUUCCCAGCCCAGGGAUCAAAUCCUCAUCUCACGCAUUGGUAGGCAGAUUCUUUACCACUGUGCCACUUAGGAAGCCCAAUUUGAUCAUUAUUAAAAUAAUAAACAGCAAACCAUACAGUGAAGUGUUUCUUUCCUCAGUGUCAUUGCUAUGUGAUAGAAAUUUAUGGCUAAGAAAGGCCAUGUGAUAUAAUGAAAAGAGCACUAAGUGAGGAGUCAAGGAGAUAAGGAUCCCAGUUCUGGCUGUAAUGCAAACAGACUAGAGGUCACUGGGCAGGUCACUUACAAGUUAAGGUGGGUCUCAUUUUGUUAAUGUGUAAAAGGAAAAUAUAAUCAUCCUGAAACCAUCCCACCUGUCCUUGGUCCAUGGAAAAAUUGUCUUCCAUGAAACCAGUCCCUGGUGCCAAAAAGGUUGGGGGAACCACUGGCUUAAAUGACAAAAUAAAGGAUUUCAUAGUAAAUAAGAAAUAUGAUCUAUUGUAUUUGGUAGCCUGGAAAAAAUUCAAGUAGAAUCAAAAUAAAAUUCAAAUUAGUAGCAUUACCAUAAAAAUAUAGAAUCAAAAUAAGGAAGGAGCACUUCAUGAUUUUAUAUUAUGUUCGCAGUUGCUAAUCUGUAUAUGUGUUUUAUCUUUCUAAAUAAAUUGGCAUAAAAUAGUU